GUGUGAGGGUAAUGGCCGCCUCUAGUGCCCUUGCAGCUGGCUUAGGCCGCGUCGUGACCUUUGACGUGUGCUGCGGCCUGGAGAACCUGCCAGUGCCAGUCAUUAAUGGAGUGGAUGAUGAGGGCUUGCCUCCCCUGCAGGCAAUGUCUACUGUGAAAGAAGAGGUAACUACACAUGAAUUCCUGGACUGCACUACCCGAAAGGAAAGUGAAUACAACCUUCUUUCAGCUUAGAAGAAUGACGGAUGAUCUUAUUGGAGUGUAUAAGAUCCUAAGACCAUGACAAGUACACACCUGGAAAUGUAGCUGGACCAGGAGAAGACCUUGAUCCCACUGAAAUAAAUCUUCCAGGAUGUGACUGCUUAACCUCUUCCUCAAAGUUGAAGCCAUCCAUGGUCCAAAAACCAAAGAACCUCUGCCACGGAGAACCAAGAAAGGAGGUGAAUUUAUCGAGGACAGAGAGGCAGUCAAGGCCUAUAGGAAGAACCACAUUGAAGACCUCAUCAACUGCAAUACUGUAUUUAAUGCAUACAUGGUAUACAAAACAUAAUAGAAUCAAUGAAAGACUGCACCCAACAGGAUGGACAAACAACCAACGUGCAAAAGACAUCAGAAAAUGUAAAUACAAAGAAAAAAGACAAGAAACAUCAAGAACAUGAGAUGAAGAGUCCUUGAAGAGUGAGUACAUAAGUUGUGGGAACAGUUCAAUGAUGGGGCAAGUGAAGUUAUGCCCUCUAAUUCAAGAGCCUGAUGGUUGAGGGGUAAUAACUGUUCCUGAACCUGGUGGUGUGGGUCCUGAAGCUCCUGUACCUUCCUCCUGAUGGCAGUAGUGAGAAUUGAGCAUGACCUGAGCGGUGGAGGUCCUUGAUGAUGGGUGCUGUUUUUCUGCAUCAACACUCCAUGAAGAUGUGCUGAAUGAUGGGGAGGGCUUUACCUGUGAUGAACUGGGCUGUAUCUGCUACCUUUUGUAGGCUUUUCCAUUCAAGGGCAUUGGUGUUCUAUAACAGGCCAUGAUGCAACUAGUCAAGACAUUUUUCAUCACACGUCUACUGAAGACCGGAAUCAGGAGAAGAAGGCAGGAGAAUAGUGUUGAGAAGGAUAAUAAAUCAGCUGUGAUCGAAUGGUGGAUCAGACCAGAUGGGCCAAACAGCUUAAUUCUGCGCAAAUGUCUUUUGGUCUUAUAGAUCUGUGUGUGUGUGCGUGAGAGUAUAUAUGUUUAUGUGUGUGAGUGCAUCCAUGUAUGUGCUUAUUUGUACAUGUGAACAUAAAGAGCAGCCUUUUACACAAGUGUACGUGUGUGCAUGUGCAUGAGAUAAGGAGAGAGAGAGAGGACAGUCAAGGGUUACAAGAGUCAGCAGCUCUUCACUGAAUCAAUUUACCUUACCUUCACUGCCUCCAACCCAAUCUCACUUAUCCCUGCACCAAAAACCCUCAAACCCUUCCAGUGUCCUUGAUCAAAGUCUUUGAACAGCUCUCUGAUUUACACUGUCACCCCCUUUCCCCAUUCUUCUUUCUGACUCCUCCAUAAUGAUGUCAGUCCCUCUCAAAUUAGCUGCCACACCGCAGAGAUGGGUAUAAAAAUAAAAUGAACUCAAAAGCCCCUCCUGCUUAGUUGCUAAAUUAUCAAGCCAAAAUACAAGAGGCAGCAUUGGCUUUUAUGUGCUUCAGAAUCCCAAGAUAAUAUUAACGUGCAUGAACGCUGACUGUGCAUUUUGGCCAUUACCUGUUUCUCAUAGGCAAUGCUGUUAUUGUGUGGCAGAAAAUAAAAUAUCAGCUCUAUAUUUACAAAUUAAUAAUAACUGCAGCUGGAACCUGGGUAGGUGGGUGUGUGUAGAAAAUAUGCCACGGUACUUUCCACCUUCAGUUUACUGGUUUAAAAUAUGAAACAGGAUAGUCAGAGAGAGUGCUUUUAUAAUAUUCUCAUUCAUGUUUUUUAUAAAAAAUUUCAUUAGAAGUAUUUAACUAAAAUUCUCUCUUUAGCUUAGCAUUGCAUUUCACUCUGCCUUGAUUUUAUUGUCAAAAAGUGGUUGCCAAAUAUAUUAGCACACACACAAAAUCCUGGAGGAAUCAGCAGCUUCUUUGGAGAGGAGUACGAUGAGACCACUCUCAGGUUGCAGGAGCAACACCUCAUAUUCCGUCUGGGUAGCCUCCAACCUGAUAGUAUCAACAUCGAUUUCUCUAAUUUCCAGUAAUUUCUCCCCCUCCCCCUCUCUUUUUUUUCAUUCACCAU
Molecule: RNA transcript, 2229 nt
Organism: Hypanus sabinus (Atlantic stingray)
Lineage: Eukaryota; Metazoa; Chordata; Chondrichthyes; Myliobatiformes; Dasyatidae
Gene: setmar
Gene name: SET domain and mariner transposase fusion gene
Exons: 5
Source: RefSeq, a predicted model, not a curated record